UGCAGCAGAAAAUAUGAAUUUUAGACUGUAAUAAAAGUAGAACUUUGAUAGCAGCAGGGUGGUGAAGCUCCAUAGAGAAUGAACAGAGAGAGAGAGGGAGUGUCAGCCAGUCAGACAGGUUUGGGCGAGGUGGACGAGUUAGCUUCACUCACAUUCUGAAGGCAGGAGAGAGAGGCAGAAACAUUUGUUGUUCCGUCACCUCUACUUUAUCUCUACUGCAGAUCAGAAGAAACAAAGAAAUACUGCAGCAGAAGCAGAAAGCUGGAUUUCUGUGAAGAACCAGGAGAUUCCAGAAGAAGAAGAAGCAGCAGGUGGAGGUUUGAACAGUUCUUCAGAGCUCACUCGCCCCGGCUGAUUGGUCAGCUUUAGCCUCGCCCUCUUGUGACUCAUCACCAUGUCAUCAAACAUCAACGUCUCCCUGGACAACCCAUAUGGUGAGGUCACCAUCCCUCGGGCGAAGCUCCGCCCCUCUGAUGACAGCACGGUGAUAGCCAAUCCAAUGGCUCUGAGCAGCACAAAUGAGAACCCGUACGCCGUGUCAAGCUCCGCCCCUCCGCCAUAUAUGGUCAAGGAAGACGGAGGUGGGGAGGAGGAGGGAGGGCGAUGCCGUGCCUGCUGCUACCGCUGCAGGAGGAAGUGAUGUCACCGCUGCUUCUGGUGAUGACACUGCGCCAGGAGGACUGUGACUGGUUCAGAUUUAUCAUGUACUCCCAUUAAGGUAACUAUGAAGAAAGAGAGGAAACAAGGAAACAGCUGAGGAGGUGAAAAAGAGAAGGAAGGAAGGAAAGAAGGAAGGAAGGAAGGAAGGAAGGAAGGCAAGAAAGAAAGAAGGAAGGAUGGAAAGAUGGAAGGAAGGAAGGAAGGAAGGGAGGAAGGGAGGAUGCAUGGAGGAAGUUGUUUGCUUGGUGGCCAUCUUGUGAAUAAAUGUGUAUAAAUAUUUGAUGUUUAUGUAGUUUCAGUAUAUUUAGUGUUUAGUCGAAUAAUGAUGAUUAUUAUUAUUAUUAUUGUUUUUAUUAUUAUUUAGUAUAUUUAGUGUUUAUUUAGUUUAAGAGAGAAUUUGAAUCAAAAAUCGCUGAAGUCCAGCAGAGCAGCUGAAAGCUCAGGAACCACCAGUCAUUUUACCUGGAAACCUGGUGGUAGGGCCCCCUGGAGGACCCUGGAGGCUCUUGGAGGCCGUCCUGGGGUUUUCAGAUAUAUAGACAUAAAAAUAUGAAAACGGAUAAAACCAGAAACAAGAUGGCCGCCGCUGACCUCAUUUCUCUGCUGUUGCCAUGACGACGACUCAAACACUUUGUUUUACUGCUGCCAAAAUUUUUAAAUAAAUCUGACUUUUUCUGUAAUCGAGUCUUUCAUGUGUUUUAUAGAUUGGUAGUUUGAUCAUUCUGCUUUGCAAUUUUAAACAAUGCAAUUUUAUUAUUUUUAUACUUUAUAUUUGACACACUGAACAUUUAAUUCUGGUCUUUCAUCUGUGUUUUGAUAAGUUCUGAACUUUGAGAUUCGUUCCAACAGAAAUGAUUUUUAACUCUUUGGAUUAUUUUGAAUGAAGCAGCUGUAAAAUAAAGUUCUGCAGAGUUUCUUGUGUUUUAGAACAAGAAGUUGUUUGUUUUCUAUGUAUUUUAAUCAUUUAGACUCGGUUCUUUUCAUAAAGUGCUUUUCCAUCAAGUAUUUAUAUUUUCAGUAAACAUUUAGUUGUGAAUGUAGAACAGACAUUCUCAUGUUUAAUAAAGUUUCUCUGACUGUGAAUCACAAUGGCGAGACGAAAAAUAAAGAAUUUAAAAAGUG
Amphiprion ocellaris (clown anemonefish) is the source of this 1782-nucleotide long non-coding RNA. RefSeq lists it as uncharacterized. Lineage: Eukaryota; Metazoa; Chordata; Actinopteri; Pomacentridae. The transcript is spliced from 2 exons. The record is from RefSeq and is a predicted model, not a curated record.